GAUGAACGCUAGCGGCAGGCCUAACACAUGCAAGUCGAACGGCAGCACGGACUUCGGUCUGGUGGCGAGUGGCGCACGGGUGCGUAACGCGUAUACAAUCUACCUUUUACAGGGGGAUAGCCCAGAGAAAUUUGGAUUAAUACCCCAUGGCAUAUAUUUAUGGCAUCAUAUAUAUAUUAAAGAUCCAUCGGUAAGAGAUGAGUAUGCGUUCUAUUAGCUAGUAGGUGCGGUAACGGCGCACCUAGGCUACGAUAGAUAGGGGCCCUGAGAGGGGGAUCCCCCACACUGGUACUGAGACACGGACCAGACUCCUACGGGAGGCAGCAGUGAGGAAUAUUGGACAAUGGGCGAGAGCCUGAUCCAGCCAUGCCGCGUGCAGGAAGACGGCCCUAUGGGUUGUAAACUGCUUUUAUACGGGAAGAAACACCCCCUCGUGAGGGGGCUUGACGGUACCGUAAGAAUAAGGAUCGGCUAACUCCGUGCCAGCAGCCGCGGUAAUACGGAGGAUCCAAGCGUUAUCCGGAAUCAUUGGGUUUAAAGGGUCCGUAGGUGGACGGUUAAGUCAGAGGUGAAAUCCUGCAGCUCAACUGUAGAAUUGCCUUUGAUACUGGUCGUCUUGAGUCGUUGUGAAGUAGUUAGAAUAUGUAGUGUAGCGGUGAAAUGCAUAGAUAUUACAUAGAAUACCGAUUGCGAAGGCAGAUUACUAACAACGUACUGACACUGAUGGACGAAAGCGUGGGGAGCGAACAGGAUUAGAUACCCUGGUAGUCCACGCCGUAAACGAUGGUCACUAGCUGUCCGGACUUCGGUCUGGGUGGCUAAGCGAAAGUGAUAAGUGACCCACCUGGGGAGUACGUUCGCAAGAAUG
This 868-nucleotide ribosomal RNA is filed under the name uncultured bacterium. RNAcentral describes it as "bacterial SSU rRNA". It matches the Rfam family "Bacterial small subunit ribosomal RNA", at positions 28 to 896 of the family's 1533-position model. The record is from RNAcentral.